AGGAUAUGAAUCAAUUAUUAAUAUCCUCCUUUAUCGCAUGCUUGAAAGUAACAUAAGAAGACAAUUAAGAAAACUAUAUGCAAUUCGCUAAGGAAGUUUGUCAUAAACAGAUACUAUGCUGUUCUGAGGGGUACAACUAUAUUUGGACCACCGAGCAAAUUAAACAUUUUGGUCCUUCGAACCGGACCAGAUACCGCACCAAAUGGCAGGCCGAUGUUAAUUUUUGAGCGUUUAAUUGUAUAUAUUGGGGUACAAAUCCUUCAGAAGAAUAAUACUCGUCUACAGCUGGGUUUUCAACUGCAAAUCAUUUCUUAGUUGCCCACAUGGCAGCGAUUUUAUUUUAAACAUACGCACGCAUUUGAGAUAACAAGCAAUUUAAGCACAGUCUAGUAGAUGUUGGCCAUUAAAAUCUUUAAACAUGGUUGUGGCUGAUCCAAAGCUCAUAAUAAAACAGGUUCGAAAAAAAUUUGCCGUAAAAAAAAUUGUGAAAGAAAAAACACAAAUACAAAAAAUCUCUCAUUAUUUGCGAAAAAGGUUCAAACAGUCUUACAAAACAGAUAAAAAUGGCACAAAUGUUUCGGCCAGAAGUAAAAUUAAAAAAUGUCUAGUCCUUCAAAAGCCAUUUUUUUCAAUUUUAUUUUAAAGAAAAGGGCAUAUUUUAAUUGUACGUAUGAUGUAAAAUUAACUCGCGCAUCAUACCUAUUGAUUUUCAAAGAAAUAUAAAUAGCUGUUCCGAUAAAA
Long non-coding RNA from Dendroctonus ponderosae (mountain pine beetle), 741 nucleotides. RefSeq lists it as uncharacterized. The record is from RefSeq and is a predicted model, not a curated record. The transcript is spliced from 2 exons. NCBI's taxonomy places the organism in Eukaryota, Metazoa, Arthropoda, Insecta, Coleoptera, Curculionidae.